CAGUAGCCGCGGUAAUGCGAAGGGUGCAAGCGUUAAUCGGAAUUACUGGGCGUAAAGCGUGCGUAGGCGGUGAGUUAAGUCUGCUGUGAAAUCCCCGGGCUCAACCUGGGAAUGGCAGUGGAUACUGGCUCGCUAGAGUGUGUCAGAGGAUGGUGGAAUUCCCGGUGUAGCGGUGAAAUGCGUAGAGAUCGGGAGGAACAUCAGUGGCGAAGGCGGCCAUCUGGGACAACACUGACGCUGAGGCACGAAAGCGUGGGGAGCAAACAGGAUUAGAUACCCCGGUAGUCCCUGUCUCUUAUAC
This 301-nucleotide ribosomal RNA is filed under the name uncultured bacterium. RNAcentral describes it as "partial 16S ribosomal RNA". It matches the Rfam family "Bacterial small subunit ribosomal RNA", at positions 509 to 807 of the family's 1533-position model. The record is from RNAcentral.